CUGAAUCCGGGUCGACCACGAUCCAACCCUAAAUACUAAUACCAGAUCGAUAGUGCACAAGUACCGUGAGGGAAAGGUGAAAAGAACUGAGGUGAUCAGAGUGAAAUAGAACCUGAAACCAUUUGCUUACAAUCAUUCAGAGCCCUAUGUAGCAAUACAGGGUGAUGGACUGCCUUUUGCAUAAUGAGCCUGCGAGUUGUGGUGUCUGGCAAGGUUAAGCAAACGCGAAGCCGUAGCGAAAGCGAGUCUGAAUAGGGCGCUUAGUCAGAUGCUGCAGACCCGAAACGAAGUGAUCUAUCCAUGAGCAAGUUGAAGCUAGUGUAAGAACUAGUGGAGGACUGAACCCAUAGGCGUUGAAAAGCCCCGGGAUGACUUGUGGAUAGGGGUGAAAGGCCAAUCAAACUUCGUGAUAGCUGGUUCUCUCCGAAAUAUAUUUAGGUAUAGCGUUGUGUCGUAAUAUAAGGGGGUAGAGCACUGAAUGGGCUAGGGCAUACACCAAUGUACCAAACCCUAUCAAACUCCGAAUACCUUAUAUGUAAUCACAGCAGUCAGGCGGCGAGUGAUAAAAUCCGUCGUCAAGAGGGAAACAACCCAGACUACCAGCUAAGGUCCCUAAAUCUUACUUAAGUGGAAAACGAUGUGAAGUUACUUAAACAACCAGGAGGUUGGCUUAGAAGCAGCCAUCCUUUAAAGAAAGCGUAAUAGCUCACUGGUCUAGUGAUUUUGCGCGGAAAAUAUAACGGGGCUAAAGUAA
Molecule: ribosomal RNA, 754 nt
Filed under: Campylobacter coli
Lineage: Bacteria; Pseudomonadati; Campylobacterota; Epsilonproteobacteria; Campylobacterales; Campylobacteraceae
Description: partial 23S ribosomal RNA
Rfam family: Bacterial large subunit ribosomal RNA
Source: RNAcentral